Molecule: ribosomal RNA, 422 nt
Filed under: uncultured bacterium
Lineage: Bacteria
Description: bacterial SSU rRNA
Rfam family: Bacterial small subunit ribosomal RNA
Source: RNAcentral
UAAGGAAUAUUGGUCAAUGGACGCAAGUCUGAACCAGCCAUGCCGCGUGGAGGAUUAAGGCCCUCUGGGUUGUAAACUCCUUUUAUCUGGGAAGAAAUGUACUUUUUCUUGAGUACUUGACGGUACCAGAGGAAUAAGCACCGGCUAACUCCGUGCCAGCAGCCGCGGUAAUACGGAGGGUGCAAGCGUUAUCCGGAUUCACUGGGUUUAAAGGGUGCGUAGGUGGGCAGGUAAGUCAGUGGUGAAAUCUCCGGGCUUAACCCGGAAACUGCCGUUGAUACUAUUUGUCUUGAAUAUUGUGGAGGUAAGCGGAAUAUGUCAUGUAGCGGUGAAAUGCUUAGAUAUGACAUAGAACACCAGUUGCGAAGGCAGCUUACUACACAAUCAUUGACGCUGAGGCACGAAAGCGUGGGGAUCAAACA